Molecule: ribosomal RNA, 271 nt
Filed under: uncultured bacterium
Lineage: Bacteria
Description: partial 16S ribosomal RNA
Rfam family: Bacterial small subunit ribosomal RNA
Source: RNAcentral
AACCUACCUUUAGGAGGGGGACAACAACUGGAAACGGUUGCUAAUACCCCAUAAGCUGAGGAGUAAAAGGAAUAUUAUUCCGCCUAAAGAUGGGCUUGCGUCUGAUUAGCUUGUUGGUAGGGUAAAUGCCUACCAAGGCGACGAUCAGUAGCUGGUCUGAGAGGAUGAUCAGCCACACUGGGACUGAGACACGGCCCAGACUUCUACGGAAGGCAGCAGUGAGGAAUUUUCCGCAAUGGGCGAAAGCCUGACGGAGCAAUGCCGCGUGGAG